Small nucleolar RNA from Periophthalmus magnuspinnatus, 75 nucleotides. RefSeq annotates it as small nucleolar RNA SNORD50. The record is from RefSeq and is a predicted model, not a curated record. NCBI's taxonomy places the organism in Eukaryota, Metazoa, Chordata, Actinopteri, Gobiiformes, Gobiidae. The transcript has a single exon.
CCACAGUGAUGAGCCCUUUAUCCCGAAGCUGAUCAGUUCUGAUGAAACAAUCUUUACGGAUCUGACUACUGAGUU